Molecule: ribosomal RNA, 257 nt
Filed under: uncultured prokaryote
Description: partial 16S ribosomal RNA
Rfam family: Bacterial small subunit ribosomal RNA
Source: RNAcentral
UACGGAGGAUGCAAGCGUUAUCCGGAUUUAUUGGGUUUAAAGGGUGCGUAGGCGGGACUGUAAGUCAGGGGUGAAAUACUGCAGCUUAACUGUAGCAUUGCCUUUGAAACUGCCGUUCUUGAGUACAGUUGAGGUAGGCGGAAUGUGGUGUGUAGCGGUGAAAUGCAUAGAUAUACCACAGAACGCCGAUUGCGAAGGCAGCUUACUGAGCUGUUACUGACGCUGAGGCACGAAAGCGUGGGGAUCAAACAGGAUUA